AGAGGAUGGAAUGCUUCACCAGGAGACACAAGAAUAAUUUCCUUGACCUGGGAGUUAAGACUGCCACCCAGCCACCUUGUGCUCUCCAUGCUGCUGAUUCAACAGGCAAAUAAGGAAGUUAUGGUGUGGGCUACAGUGAUUGAUCUGACUAACAAGAGGGAAAUUGCUCCACCAUGGGGGUGAGGGAGAGUACAUCUGGAAUACAGAAGUUCCCUUAGGACACCCUUAGUGUUCCCACACAUUGCGAUUAAGGCCAGUGGAAAACUACAAUAACUCAGUUCAGGCGGAACAACUCAUGGGGCAGAAUCUUCAAGGAAUGAAGAUUUGAGUCCUUCUACCAGGUUUUGCAGAGUGCCUCCAGAAAUAAAAGUGUUACAAAAGAAUCACUUCAGAAAACCUACACUUAGAGAGUCCAUUUGAAAAUUGCCCUAUUUGAAAUGAAGUGGAGAUCAGUAAUAACAAGGACUUCCCCAUAUAACCCAAGUUUGUCUCCAUGAGGUCAUACAGCUGCUUGAGGUUGCUCGGAGAGUAAGAAGCAGAAUGAGAACUAGAACAGAAGCUCACUUUGGCCUGAAGGCUCAUGUGCUGAGCAUCUUCCCUUGUCUGUCUCCACCCCUAGCCUGGUGCCCAGCAUGUAGAAGACCUUCAUCCUAGAUGCAAUGGGAUUAAACUUGGAGAAAAUGGGAUUAAACUUGGACAAACACUACCUAUUUGGACUUGUGAUGAUGGCUUUCAAACUUCUUAAAGCAAUGAAGUAUUUUUUCCAGAAGAAACCUUACACAAGAAGCCCAGCACACUGAGUCAAGCAUAUGUAGGUGGAAGAUAUCUGGUUGAGACCAAGUAGAGAUAAACCUGUAGAUUCAACUGUGCCACCACAGUGAAUUCUAAGAAUCCACUGACUGUGAUCUGUAAGCUCCUACUCCACAGGAGGUCAGGGCACACAGCUUGAAACCGGAAGGCAGAAGAGUGACAGGGAAGGGUCAUGGACUCUGAAAUUAGAGCUAUCUGUGUUUUAAUACUAGUUCCAAUAGGCACAUGGUCUUGGAUAAAUGGUUUAAAUUAUCUGAGUCUCAAUUUCUUUCUCUGCAAAAAGGGAUGAUUAGUACAUAUGUAAUAGGGUUUUUAUAGAAAAUUGUAUAACUUGUUAAACACACAUGUACUAAGUGCUUGGUGCCCAGUAUGCACUGAAUAAAUGCUAGCUCCUUGCCUUUCAUCUCUAUGACCCUUCCCAAAUCUCUCAGCCCCAUAUUGCUUCAUGUAGUGUGUGUAUAUUUGGGAAAAUUUGUGUGCAUAUUUACAGAUGGGAUCCUACUCUUCUAUUGACAGACUGUCUUUUCAGAUGUGCCUUACUUUCAUUGCAUUGGUUUUUCAACUGAAAGUGAACAUAAAGGUUUUAAGCAUGCCUAGGUCUUAUCUUUUUGGUCAAAUAUCUAACACCCUCAAUAACAGUUGUAAAUCAUUCUUUUGUAAUUUGAUCAUUCAUUUUUAUAAAGUAAAACACAACUGCCCACUGUAAAAA
This 1519-nucleotide long non-coding RNA is filed under the name Homo sapiens (human). RNAcentral's name for it is "long intergenic non-protein coding RNA 2725". Lineage: Eukaryota; Metazoa; Chordata; Mammalia; Primates; Hominidae. The record is from RNAcentral.